This 253-nucleotide ribosomal RNA is filed under the name uncultured bacterium. RNAcentral's name for it is "partial 16S ribosomal RNA". It matches the Rfam family "Bacterial small subunit ribosomal RNA", at positions 524 to 776 of the family's 1533-position model. The record is from RNAcentral.
UACGUAGGGUGCGAGCGUUACUCGGAAUUACUGGGCGUAAAGCGUGCGCAGGCGGUUCGUUAAGUCAGAUGUGAAAGCCCCGGGCUCAACCUGGGAACUGCAUUUGAAACUGGCGGGCUUGAGUGCGGCAGAGGGGGGUGGAAUUCCGCGUGUAGCAGUGAAAUGCGUAGAGAUGCGGAGGAACACCGAUGGCGAAGGCGGCCCCCUGGGCCGACACUGACGCUCAGGCACGAAAGCGUGGGGAGCAAACAGG